GACGAACGCUGGCGGCGUGCUUAACACAUGCAAGUCGAACGAAGAGCGACGGAAGCUUGCUUCUAUCAAUCUUAGUGGCGAACGGGUGAGUAACGCGUAAUCAACCUGCCCUUCAGAGGGGGACAACAGUUGGAAACGACUGCUAAUACCGCAUACGAUCUAACCUCGGCAUCGAGGAUAGAUGAACGGUGGCCUCUACAUGUAAGCUAUCACUGAAGGAGGGGAUUGCGUCUGAUUAGCUAGUUGGAGGGGUAACGGCCCACCAAGGCGAUGAUCAGUAGCCGGUCUGAGAGGAUGAACGGCCACAUUGGGACUGAGACACGGCCCAGACUCCCACGGGAGGCAGCAGUGGGGAAUCUUCCGCAAUGGACGAAAGUCUGACGGGGCAACGCCGCGUGAGUGAUGACGGCCUUCCGGUUGUAAAGCUCUGUUAAUCGGGACGAAAGGCCUUCUUGCGAAUAGUGAGAAGGAUUGACGGUACCGGAAUAGAAAGCCACGGCUAACUACGUG
RNAcentral lists this ribosomal RNA (510 nucleotides) under uncultured bacterium. RNAcentral describes it as "partial 16S ribosomal RNA". It matches the Rfam family "Bacterial small subunit ribosomal RNA", at positions 28 to 507 of the family's 1533-position model. The record is from RNAcentral.